GCAGGGUGUCGUAGGUGACCUGCGGAGGGACAUUACACAAAUAUGAAGGCGGGCUGGAACCUCUCGGGGUUACAGCCUUGCUGAAUUAUUCACCCUUGUCUUUUGCGUACUUCUUGUUUCCUUGGUGGGUUCGCCCACCACUAGGACAAACAUAAACCUUUUGUAAUUGCAAUCAGCGUCAGUAACAAAUUAAUAAUUACAACUUUCAACAACGGAUCUCUUGGUUCUGGCAUCGAUGAAGAACGCAGCGAAAUGCGAUAAGUAGUGUGAAUUGCAGAAUUCAGUGAAUCAUCGAAUCUUUGAACGCACAUUGCGCCCUUUGGUAUUCCAAAGGGCAUGCCUGUUCGAGCGUCAUUUGUACCCUCAAGCUUUGCUUGGUGUUGGGCGUCUUGUCUCUAGCUUUGCUGGAGACUCGCCUUAAAGUAAUUGGCAGCCGGCCUACUGGUUUCGGAGCGCAGCACAAGUCGCACUCUCUAUCAGCAAAGGUCUAGCAUCCACUAAGCCUUUUUUUCAACUUUUGACCUCGGAUCAGGUAGGGAUACCCGCUGAACUUAA
RNAcentral lists this ribosomal RNA (555 nucleotides) under Alternaria alternata. Its description in RNAcentral is "eukaryotic LSU rRNA". The stretch from base 201 to 354 matches the Rfam family "5.8S ribosomal RNA". Lineage: Eukaryota; Fungi; Ascomycota; Dothideomycetes; Pleosporales; Pleosporaceae. The record is from RNAcentral.